RNAcentral lists this unclassified non-coding RNA (2008 nucleotides) under Hevea brasiliensis (rubber tree). The record is from RNAcentral. Lineage: Eukaryota; Viridiplantae; Streptophyta; Magnoliopsida; Malpighiales; Euphorbiaceae.
GGACGGCGACUUUAGUAUACAGGUUCGCUUCCCUUUUUAAUUCCAAUGUUUCCCAUUUUAUAUAUUUUUUUUGUGCUUUAUUCUGUUUCUGGAUAAAUUGGAAAGAAAGGACGGGAAAUUUGGAAAGAACGGAAAGGAAAAUUUGUGGAUUUGGGGAGUUAUGAUUACAUGGUUGGAUGAAUAUUGAUUAAUUUGAUGGAUGAUCAGAACCAAUUUGAAUUUGAAAUUAUCCUUAACUUCUACCUAUAUUUGUGUCUGUUAUUAAAUGCCUACCACUUUUUUGCCCCCUUAACUUGUGUUAUAUCUGGGUAGGAUGGUAUUAUAAUAGUUUUUAAGAGUGUUUAUGCUUUUAUGUUUUCUAUUUAAUUGUUCUCUACUUCUAGUUAUGGGUGGAUAAUCAAAUUUGCUUCUUUUACUUCCUUGUGCUCUUUUUAGUUGCUGAGAAUAGGGGGAACUAAAAGAAAAAGGAAUUAUGGAAUUUGAAUGUCUUACAUUUUCUUCGUUGCUUGCCAAUCUGAAAUAACGGAUGAGUGUAUCAAAUCAUCCAGGUCAAGUCAUUGAUAGAGCAUAAUUAGAUUUUUGGUAACUGGUAAUUACAUGAUGGAAGGAAUCAUAUAAAUCCUUUCGUGCAUUGAUUGGAUAGGUUAUUUUACAUUUUUAUGCUGUGAAAGCUAGGAAUGAGAAAGAACUCUAAUGUUAAAUGAUGUUUUCCUAUACUUUGAUCUAAAAGUCGGUUCAAAUGAUCUCAUGUUGAGGACAGAUUUGAAUAGCUCAAAAUAAAUGGAGACACUUUGUAUUUAGAAAUUAUUUUCUCUAUUUCUUCAGUUAGACUCAGUAAAUUUAUUCCAAUUGUCACAUGUUUAGUUGGUUGGGUGGAAGAAGAAUAGAGGUAAGAUUAAGAAGGGGUGCAAAGAAUAUGGAGGCGAACAUUACACAAUCGACAAUGAAUGUGUGGCUUGGGGUGGGGGAAGAAGAUAGGCCAAAUACAUACCAGGUACCUGUGAACUAAGUUUUGGACCUAUUAGACACCUGAACUUAAAAAGAACUUAAACACAAAAUUUGCACAGUAAAAUAUGUGAAAUACACACGUGAUGAUGUGUACAAAGACUGCCAAAUAGCUAAAAUGUUUUUUGACGUGGCACUCAAGCUUCCUCUUCCCAUAUCUCUUCUUCUUCUCAUAGAAAUCCAUGAAGCAAUAAAUGGUGCCCUUUGAGCUUCAAAAUAGUUAACACAUAAAUAUCAAGAUUUUAAGAUCAUUAUGGGAAGUUCUUAAAACCCAUUAAAAAAAGCAUAAAGUGAAAGUGUGUAUAAUAAUACCUAGAAACAAAGAAAAACAAUAAAUUGAUAGGUUUAUUAAACCUUUUCUUUUUUGACAAUGCUGAAAUGAUUUCUCAUAUUUUUCUUGAAAUUAAUUAGUUGACUUAUACACCGUAUCCAUAUGACAAGAUGAUGAUCGAAAAAAAAGUUUCAACUCAGCUGAUCAUUAAGCAAAGAAAAGCACGAGCAGUAGCAUUGCAUGGUCAAAAUUUUUAUUUGAAAAAACACUAAAUUGUUAGCUUGGCUGAUAUGGAAGCAUUUGGAGGCAAUCCUAUGCUUGGGGUUUUCUGCUUGAAGUUGCUGCACAUUAAGGGCUUGAACCAAAACCCUUAAAGUUACAAGGUCAUGACUUCUAGCACUGCUUCAUUAGCACCCCUUGUGACAAAUAAGUUGAAGCAGUAUUCACAGCACCAUUCCACAUGUUAGUAGACUUUGACAGUUUUAAUAGUCAACUUGGAGGAAAUUCCCAUACUCUGUGUCAGAUAGUGUCUUAUCCAGCACCUGUGUCUACUCUUCUCUGUUUUACUCCAUUUUAGAGAUUCAAAGCAGAGGAUAGAGAUAAGAAGUUAAGUCAUGGGAUAUAAAUUACAAUGCACAUGCAUUAUUUUGAUAAAAUGACAUAGGAUACCCACAAGGAUAGAAGUCAUGAUCUUCUCCCAAAAAAUCUUGAUCACCAGCCAUUAUCACUAAA